GUGACUGCGUACCUUUUGUAUAAUGGGUCAGCGACUUAUAUUCUGUAGCAAGGUUAACCGUAUAGGGGAGCCGUAGGGAAACCGAGUCUUAACCGGGCGUUAAGUUGCAGGGUAUAGACCCGAAACCCGGUGAUCUAGCCAUGGGCAGGUUGAAGGUUGGGUAACACUAACUGGAGGACCGAACCGACUAAUGUUGAAAAAUUAGCGGAUGACCUGUGGCUGGGGGUGAAAGGCCAAUCAAACCGGGAGAUAGCUGGUUCUCCCCGAAAGCUAUUUAGGUAGCGCCUCGUGAAUUCAUCUCCGGGGGUAGAGCACUGUUUCGGCUAGGGGGCCAUCCCGGCUUACCAACCCGAUGCAAACUGCGAAUACCGGAGAAUGUUAUCACGGGAGACACACGGCGGGUGCUAACGUCCGUCGUGAAGAGGGAAACAACCCAGACCGCCAGCUAAGGUCCCAAAGUCAUGGUUAAGUGGGAAACGAUGUGGGAAGGCCCAGACAGCCAGGAUGUUGGCUUAGAAGCAGCCAUCAUUUAAAGAAAGCGUAAUAGCUCACUGGUCGAGUCGGCCUGCGCGGAAGAUGUAACGGGGCUAAACCAUGCACCGAAGCUGCGGCAGCGACGCUGAUGCGUUGUUGGGUAGGGGAGCGUUCUGUAAGCCUGUGAAGGUGUGUCGUGAGGCAUGCUGGAGGUAUCAGAAGUGCGAAUGCUGACAUAAGUAACGAUAAAGCGGGUGAAAAGCCCGCUCGCCGGAAGACCAAGGGUUCCUGUCCAACGUUAAUCGGGGCAGGGUGAGUCGACCCCUAAGGC
This 805-nucleotide ribosomal RNA is filed under the name Salmonella enterica subsp. enterica serovar 4,[5],12:i:-. RNAcentral describes it as "bacterial LSU rRNA". It matches the Rfam family "Bacterial large subunit ribosomal RNA", at positions 593 to 1397 of the family's 2925-position model. Lineage: Bacteria; Pseudomonadati; Pseudomonadota; Gammaproteobacteria; Enterobacterales; Enterobacteriaceae. The record is from RNAcentral.